CUAUACUUCAAUUAGAAAAUAAAAAGCCUGUGGGAGGUCAGAGAAGGAUUCUUUUUUAUUUUUGGCUCACCACGCAGCUUGCGUGAUCUUACUUCCCCGAAAGGGAUCGAACCCAUGCCCCCUGCAGUGGAAGCUCAGAGUCCUAACCACUGGACCACCAGGGAAGUCCCUGAGAGAAGGAUUCUUGAAGGGGGACUUCUGAGCCUGCUUCUGAAGGAGUCAGCCAAAUGCAGAUAUGAAAGAUACAGAGAAAUAGAGGUGAGUUCCAGAAACUUCAAGUGAGCUGUUAUUUUUGGAGCCUGAGGCAUGUGUGGAUGUGACCAGGGAUGAAGCUGGACCCAGAGACUGCAAAGAACCAGGUAAUGAGGGGCCUGGCUGCCGUACUAUGGAGUCUGGUUAUUGCCCCAAAGGUGGUGGAAAGCCCUCGGAGGUACUUAUGGGAGGGAACAGGGUGUGGAUAUGGUCUGGUUUGCAAAACACUUUGGUGGCCAAUGUUGAGGUGAAUUAGAGGUGUACUGUGAGGAGAAAGAUGGCCUAGAAAUUGUCGAGGCUUGAAUAAGGAGAAGAACAUUAUAACAGAUCCCUCAGGAUGGAAGCAAAAUCCUCUUUGGACACAACUAUGAAUCUACCUGUCUCUGCAUUGCUUUGUAGGUUGCCACGUGUACAGAACACUAUGGACCCCAGAACAAAAAUUCAAAAGAUAUGCAUUGGGUUUAUGGAUGAAGACUCUUCAUCCACCUUUGUCACUAAAAUCUGCACAGAAAGAAACAAGGUCUUCAGCUUCCUAAAGACAUGUUUGCAAUUCCGCUGGGACAAAAGAUACCUGGCUAGAACCCCAGAGGGGAAAUAAAAACAAAGGAUUCAGAAGGGCUACCUCUUAAAGCCUGUCUAUACAGCAUUGGAGAUGCCCACAGAAGGCUUUCUACCCAAACUUUCAACCCCAAGGAAGUCAGAAAUGCCAUAAUUCAAGUUUUAUUCUUUAGGAAGAAACAUUGCAAAUCUCUCUGCCACACAUAUCCUUGCUGGCAUGGGGGAAACGGGAAAGCGAGGCUGUACACAUCCCCUCUUCCCUGUGUGGGGGACUCAGGGCACCAGAGCCUGGAGGCAGGAGAGCAGCACAAGGUGAUGAGGAUGGACCCCUCCACUUGCUGUCUACCUGCUGUCAAAGGGGUCACAUGCAGUACUUCAAGGCCCAUAUGGUCCCUGGGAGUCUGCACGCCAGGCAUCUCCCUCCAUCCCGGAGCUCUGCAAGGACCUCGGCUUCUGAAGCAGAGCUUCUUCACAAACAGUAAUAAGUAGGAAUCACUGUUUUUGGAUAUUUCCCUCCUAUGACAUAAACUUUCUAAGUCUUCUACCAAAAAUAUAUAAUCAGAAAAAAAAGCAGCAUAAGUUAAAUGAACUUCAUCCAAGAAGUGGCAUUUUCAUAGAUGCGGAGUAUUUUACAGCCCACCCCUCCCACUGAGUCCUCCCUGUGAAUCCCUGUGUGAAUCCCCCCAGUGAAGAUUGUCUACCCAGGAGGGGUCUUUAGAACCAAGCAGAGAAACAGUACAUGAGUAUCACCCAAACUAUAAUCAAGACCAGGCGAAAGUGAUCUAGUCCUCGGUGGGGAGACCGAGAGAGAUGGGAUAAAGGCUUGUCUGAUACAACACAAUGCACUGAAGAUGAGGAAACUGAGACAGAGACACAUGAAGAACCUCAUCCAGAUUGCAUAGCAUAAUGUGGCAGAGCCAGGAUUGGAACCCAGGCUUCAGCCCAUGCACUGCAUGGUUUUUUAGAAACUGAUGAUCUGAUAUGGAAGAGCUCCAGUGAGUUUCUGGGAAGCUGGGGUUUGUGGGCUUGCAGGAGAAUUGGUCUAAGAGUACCCAGAGGCCUUCCCUGUCUAACAUGAGGUGAGUGAACUCAUUUGCACCCCAAGGCAGCCACGUCAUCCUUCCUAUCUGCUGAGCUGGCUUCCUAUCUGCUGAGCUGGUAUUUAUUCUGACUGAUGUAAGUGCCUUCCCAAGUAAACUCUCAGAGGCCAGGCAAGUACAUUCUCAGAUACCAUAAGACAUCUUUUCCUUUACAGUUUCCCUGCUUUCCCAGGGGUGUUUGUAUGGGAGGAGGCAAAGGAGGAGGGGAAGGCACUGCCUUCCAGAAACAUCCUACCUAGAUGCAGACACUCAGUUCUCAGGGUAGUGGGAAACCCUGAGGGAUGGUGUUGCCCAGGAGGCAAGUCAGAGAUCUUUGUUCUUUGGCCUUGGCAAAGCAGGACCUGUGGGGCUCUGAGAGGGCAGAGUGCCACCUGCCACCAUGGUAGAAGUAACAGAGCAUGUGCAGAGAACCUCCUAUGUGCCUGGCCCUGUGUGUGCACUGGGUCUACAGAGACAAAGGUCUGCUCUCAAGCAGAUCACACAGACAGAGACAUUGAUAAAAAGGAACCCAAAAGCAACACAUAUUGCUAAAUAGAGAGAGGGGACCACAGGAUGCUUCCUUACAUGUUCAGUGGGAUGAGGAGGAGAAAAUAGAAGGAAAGGGAAAGAAAGCGUGGGGUGGGCAGAAAGGAAGAGAGGGGUUGGUCAAGUAAAGCUUCUUGGAGGAAGAAUUCUGCUUGUCAGUCUGAAAAGGUAAGUAGGAAUUACUGAGUUACUGGUUAAUUGAAUUAAGAAAAAGAAAUUUCAGAUGGAGAUGGGUGAGUAGACAUAAAUGGGUCUGGCAUGCCCAGGGUCCUGGAGAAUGCAAGGAGAAACCUCACUAAUAGCCUUGAGUAUCAAGCUAUGAAGGGUGUUUUUCAUUCUGCCACCAAUGGGACUUGCUUGAGAAUUCUGAGCAGGGACGGGCCUAAUCUGAUUUGGGGAGAUGGACUAGAUAGAAUCAUCCCCCUCCUCAGGCCAAAGUGAUGGAAAUCCCCACCACUUUAUAAAGUCUCUAAUUGAGAAGAAUACACUAUCUCUGGAAAAGGAGUUAACAGCAUGCAAAUACCUUCCCUGGGUAUAUCACCUUAUCUCCCUGGGUAAUUCCUUAACACUCACCUCCUAAUACUUUAGCUCCCACCAACACAAAAACACCUACAGCACAUGAGCCUGCAUCCCUUUCUCAGAUUACGUGACAAGGAAAAUCCUGGUCCCAAGCUCACAAAGCAUAGGAAAGGUCAUUUAUUUUAUUUUAUUUUAUUUUUUAUUUAUUUAUUUUUUUUAGAUGUUGGGAGUAGGAGUUUAUUUAUUUAUUUAUUUAUUUU
Non-coding RNA from Delphinapterus leucas (beluga whale), 3214 nucleotides. The record is from RefSeq and is a predicted model, not a curated record. Lineage: Eukaryota; Metazoa; Chordata; Mammalia; Artiodactyla; Monodontidae.